Molecule: ribosomal RNA, 200 nt
Filed under: uncultured bacterium
Lineage: Bacteria
Description: partial 16S ribosomal RNA
Source: RNAcentral
GACGAACGCUGGCGGCGUGCUUAACACAUGCAAGUCGAGCGGUAAGGCCCUUUCGGGGUACGACGAGCGGCGAACGGGUAGGAGUAACACGUGGGUGGACCUCGCCCUCCAGCUCUGGGAGUAAAGACCUCGGGAAACCGGGUACCGUAAUAACUGGAGUAUGACUCCAUGACGCAUGUUGUUGGGGUGGGAAAGACCUU